GGCUAGGGGUGUUUCACAGGUAUUCAAGAAGAACCAGAAGUUGAUUGGAGGCCCUCACACCAGCUCUGGGAUGCUGUAGGAAGAGCACAUGAGCAGAGCAGAACCAGCCGAGAACACGCCCUGCGUUUUCAAAGUGGAGGUUUUGAUUACCACGGAGCACCGUAACUGACAAGCACCUUGUGAAGUAAUUAUUGUUGUGAAAGUAAAACCCCCACCGCUUGACACCGAGUGCACCGCAAAGCACGGCUCCGGCAGCUCAAGACGUGACACCGAGGGAGGUCUACCUGCAGCGUGGCAAGGAAUGCGUCCAGGGAGGAGGGCUAUGGGGUCUAACGGGCAAAGAGGGAAGUGUAGGCAGAGAAUGUUGAAGUCUUUGCCUCUGCAGGGCAUGAAAGCUCCUCUAGGAACCCAGCCAAGAUGUGGCAAGGCUCCAGCAAAAGAUCCUGUAGAUCAUUGUAAUGUGACUGUGCCUUACAACCACACAGUGUGUGCAAGAAAAGGAUGCUGAGAUCAGCUGAGCUUUGUCCUUUUAGAAAUUGGGAGCUGAUGUAUUUCCACGUUUGAGGACCUCUGACAGCUCGGUGAUGCUCACAAGCCCCUGUGCCAGCAGCAGUGGACAGGGAGACUGGAGAAGAGGGGGGUGUGAAUUUCUCCCUGUGCACAGCCCUCUCUGCCCUGUUAGCCAUGCAAAUUGGUGUUCCCGUCACAUCAUUCCCCAGUCUCCUUGGAUCCAAAAGUACAUCAGUACACAUUUUGCUUAAUUUAUGCUCAGUCUCCUGCAAGGAGCUUCUAUCCCCAAAAAACACAUUCAGAAGAAAAGGUCAGCUCUUCAGGGCCCAGCACUUUAUAAAGCCUGCAGCGAGAGGAUGUAAUAUUGCAGCUAGGGUGGAAUUGGUUUCUCUGUUACUGAAACCCUCUCAGGUCACUGGCAUGUUUGCCAGGCUUCAAGUAAUUAAUUUCUCUCCAUUUCCCACAGCACUUCCCACCCCCCCCACCACCCAACUCAGAGCUGCAAGUGCAGGAAGCCUUGUUGCUGGGAGGGCUCCCAAGCCUGGCAGUAGGACAUAACUGCGUUUGGAAGUGAUGUUUGACCCUCCUUGUUCACAGAAUCUUCACCAGUGGCAAGAGGAUGUUUCUGUUUGGAGGGGGGGGGAGGGAAAGCAACCCUCUUCACUGCUCACUGAACAGCUCAUUCAUUUAGCUCUUACUGCUUGGGUAGUACCAGGCAAUUUUGGAACCCAUCCCUGCCCAAAGUCAUUUCAUUUCAGAACAAAUCAAACUCUGGUUGUUUUCUCCCAAUUGUGUUUCUGGCUUUGUGAGGAGUGGAGGCUGUUCCAAACAAUGCCCUUCCUCUUGAAUGUUAAUGAAUAGUGGGGGUCUAUGGAGCUACCCGAGAUCUUCCCAGCACACUCAAUGUACUGGGCUUUCUUAAAGGAGGGGGUAGGAGAUUUGUUUUUUCCCUUCUUGGUUUAGCUUCGGUAUCUUUUUUUAAACCAGAUGUGGGUUUAGUAGCUCCCAGCUCCCCCCCAUGCUUAAGUACAUGGUGCUGAGACCUCUCCAAGGACAUCUUUCCUGUGGGAAGGGAGUUGGUCCAUUCUCCAGUGGGUUCACGAUUUCCAAACUCAGCAAUUAUGUACAGGGAAGCUUACAUGGAGUUGUGUAGUCGAGGGGGAAAAACUGGAUGUCAGACUGGGGUCCUGUCUCCUGAAAGGCUGGGCAAAGCCUUGAACUCCUACCGAGGGAAGCAUCCAAACGUCCAUGUGUUAUCAGCUGAGUUACCUCCCUAAGCUCAUUUGCAGAGAUGCAUUCAGAGAAGCAAUCUGCACAGAAAUUGAUUUGUCUUACUGGUUCAGUGACCAGAGCUGUGAUUUAAAAAAUAAAUAAAUAA
This is a long non-coding RNA of Pogoniulus pusillus (Red-fronted tinkerbird), 1888 nucleotides long. RefSeq lists it as uncharacterized. Lineage: Eukaryota; Metazoa; Chordata; Aves; Piciformes; Lybiidae. The transcript has 2 exons. The record is from RefSeq and is a predicted model, not a curated record.